RNAcentral lists this ribosomal RNA (496 nucleotides) under uncultured bacterium. RNAcentral's name for it is "partial 16S ribosomal RNA". It matches the Rfam family "Bacterial small subunit ribosomal RNA", at positions 29 to 507 of the family's 1533-position model. The record is from RNAcentral.
ACGAACGCUGGCGGCGUGCCUAAUACAUGCAAGUUGAGCGAUGAAGAUUGGUGCUUGCACCAAUUUGAAGAGCAGCGAACGGGUGAGUAACGCGUGGGGAAUCUGCCUUUGAGCGGGGGACAACAUUUGGAAACGAAUGCUAAUACCGCAUAAUAACUUUAAACAUAAGUUUUAAGUUUGAAAGAUGCAAUUGCAUCACUCAAAGAUGAUCCCGCGUUGUAUUAGCUAGUUGGUGAGGUAAAGGCUCACCAAGGCGAUGAUACAUAGCCGACCUGAGAGGGUGAUCGGCCACAUUGGGACUGAGACACGGCCCAAACUCCUACGGGAGGCAGCAGUAGGGAAUCUUCGGCAAUGGACGAAAGUCUGACCGAGCAACGCCGCGUGAGUGAAGAAGGUUUUCGGAUCGUAAAGCUCUGUUGGUAGAGAAGAACGUUGGUGAGAGUGGAAAGCUCAUCAAGUGACGGUAACUACCCAGAAAGGGACGGCUAACUACGUG